CUCCCCAGCUCCACUGAAAACAAAACCAAAAACAAAACAAAUCAAAGCCUUAAGGAUUUAUCAACCUGGAGAGAGUGCAGCCCUUCUAGACUGAGCUGCAAAGAUGGCCCUGCCUCCAUGCCUUGUUGAACAUGAUGAUGCCCCUGGGAAUGGGAGGUGAUGGUUUUUUACUUCGGCCCUAGUACAGAGUAUGCUCUUGAAGCUGGAUUCCAUCAGCAGGAAUCACUAGGUACUUCUAAAUCACUGGAGAGUCAAUCUGAAGUCAGAUGCAUACUCCCUGAAUAUUAGUCUUUCAGCUCUCAAAUCUCCAGGCAGCCUCUAUUGAUUGAUCUGAGUUGGCAGAUGAGUUGGCAGGCCUCAAAUUCCUGUUCCCAGUGAUAUGAGUACCCACAGAUAAUUCACUGGUAAGAUCACCGAGUGACCCAGGAAUGAAACCUACCAUUGAAGAUGUUUAUUUAGAGCUGUAUCCACUGUCCACAGCCAAGGGAAAUAGCCUUUUCUAGACUGGAUAUAUUUGACCAGUAGAUGGAGUAAGUGGAUCCCAGAACCACCAACUAACCACCCAGAACCUGCUGAUCAAUGCUGUUGUCUUUCAAUAUUCUAUCAAAAAGGGACAAUGCCAUCACCAGCAACUAAAUCUUGAGCUUAAGGUGCAUCUUCGGCAGGUUUUGGAAAUCACUAGUGGGUAAAAAAGACCAAUUUGCAACUAGGCUCUCAUGCUCUGUUGAAAACUAUGUCACAAUAUCACAAUACUAGAUGCUGGGCUCAAGACAGCAAACAGAAAGCAGCAAGGGCAGUGACUGGAAGCUGGGAGAGAGGGUCAACAGCUGAAUCUCAGCCUGAUGGAGGCCAC
Long non-coding RNA from Homo sapiens (human), 853 nucleotides. Ensembl annotates it as SLC8A1 antisense RNA 1. Its record names the gene SLC8A1-AS1. Lineage: Eukaryota; Metazoa; Chordata; Mammalia; Primates; Hominidae. The record is from Ensembl.